This 223-nucleotide unclassified non-coding RNA is filed under the name fungal sp. RNAcentral describes it as "partial internal transcribed spacer region". The stretch from base 1 to 46 matches the Rfam family "Eukaryotic small subunit ribosomal RNA", at positions 1786 to 1831 of the family's 1831-position model. The record is from RNAcentral. Lineage: Eukaryota; Fungi.
AAGUCGUAACAAGGUUUCCGUAGGUGAACCUGCGGAAGGAUCAUUAAAAAUUUUUUUCAUCUAAUGAUGAAUAAAAAAUUAACCUUGUGUGCAAACAUUGCUUUGAAAGGAAGAAGGUGAAUACCUUCAUCCUAAAAACAAAAACACAUCAUCAAACUUUUAUGUAAAAACAAAAUAUAUUUAUAAUAAAAUACAACUUUCAACAACGGAUCUCUUGGCUCUC